RNAcentral lists this transfer RNA (72 nucleotides) under Camelus bactrianus (Bactrian camel). It matches the Rfam family "tRNA". Rfam says of the family: Transfer RNA (tRNA) molecules are approximately 80 nucleotides in length. Their secondary structure includes four short double-helical elements and three loops (D, anti-codon, and T loops). Lineage: Eukaryota; Metazoa; Chordata; Mammalia; Artiodactyla; Camelidae. The record is from Rfam by way of RNAcentral. RNAcentral also lists the same sequence under 2 other names.
GAAGGUAUAGCUCAGUGGUAGAGCACAUGCUUAGCAUACACAAGGUCCUGGGAUCAAUCCCCAGUCUCUCCU